GACGAACGCUGGCGGCGUGCUUAACACAUGCAAGUCGAGCGGUAAGGCCCUUUCGGGGGUACACGAGCGGCGAACGGGUGAGUAACACGUGGGUGACCUGCCCUCAGCUCUGGGAUAAGCCUGGGAAACCGGGUCUAAUACUGGAUAUGACUCCAUGACGCAUGUUGUGGGGUGGAAAGCCUUGUGCGGCUGAGGAUGGGCCCGCGGCCUAUCCAGCUUGUUGGUGGGGUGAGGCCUACCAAGGCGACGACGGGUAGCCGGCCUGGGAGGCGACCGGCCACACUGGGACUGAGACACGGCCCAGACUCCUACGGGAGGCAGCA
Molecule: ribosomal RNA, 323 nt
Filed under: uncultured bacterium
Lineage: Bacteria
Description: bacterial SSU rRNA
Rfam family: Bacterial small subunit ribosomal RNA
Source: RNAcentral